CACGUCAAGUCAUCAUGGCCCUUUUAGAGCGGGCUACACGUGUGUGACAUUGGCAAUCACAACAGGACGCUAUGGUAUGAGCCAGAGCAAAUCGUCUAAAGAUUGUCCAUGCAUGCCUUUUCUGAUUAGUCUAUGCAACUCUAGACUAUGAAGGCGGAAUCGCGAGUAAUCGCGGAUCAGCUACGCCGCGGUGAACAUUACAUAGAUCAUCUGUGCACACAUCGCCCGUCACGCUCAGAAAGUAGAUUUCUUUGAAAUCCUUUAAAACUCCUUGUGCGUUAUAGUCUGUAGAUUAAAAACAAAAAUGAUUUUUAAAGCAUACAAAGAAGUUUGCGAUUUGAGUGAAGUCGUAACCGGUCGCUCUAGGGGAACCUGGAGCGGAUAGGAAUUUAGCUUUAUAUUAUAUAAAAAAGA
Molecule: ribosomal RNA, 414 nt
Filed under: Gormaniella terricola
Lineage: Eukaryota; Viridiplantae; Chlorophyta; Chlorophyceae; Chaetopeltidales; Chaetopeltidaceae
Description: SSU rRNA
Rfam family: Bacterial small subunit ribosomal RNA
Source: RNAcentral